UCGUGCUGAUGUUGAAAUAAAGUAUUUUCAAUAUUUUCGUAAACAUAACGAACAUCACUUCGAACCCCACGGUGAAUGGUGCACCCACGGUGAAUGGCGACCUGACGGUAGUAGCUCUGAUGGAAUUUUCCCGAAUUCCUUGUUUUAAAAAUUGAUUCCCCGAAUUUAUUGUUUUAAAAAUAAAUAAAUAAAAUACUAAGUUCUAAUUGGAUAAAGCAGUUUACUGGCUACAGAACAAAGCAUUUGAAUUGGAGUUUACGCUAAAAAAAAUUGGAAGGUACUUCUUGCUACGCUCUCGGAGAAGUUCUCGGACAAGAUCAUGGACUCAUUUCUGGUUUAUUUGAUGACUGAAACGUCAGGGCUUUCUCAGAUGAUACAUUACGCAUGGCGUGUGAUGCAUGAUGAACAUCAGCAGAAGAUGUGCUGUGGCAGAGUAUAAUAAAUAUAUAAUAAAAGAUUAAACAUUGAAACACAUUUCUUAGGAAUUCAUUAUUUGUUCAUUUUAUUUAAAAAAAGAAAACAAUUUUUAAUGGUA
This is a long non-coding RNA of Armigeres subalbatus, 535 nucleotides long. RefSeq lists it as uncharacterized. The record is from RefSeq and is a predicted model, not a curated record. The transcript has 3 exons. Lineage: Eukaryota; Metazoa; Arthropoda; Insecta; Diptera; Culicidae.